UUCUUUCCUCAAUAAAAGUCACGCCUCUUCCGCCCUUAUCAGUCUUCUCAUCCGCCCUCCUCCACCAUUAAUGCAGGCGUAUAGAACAACAUUUGUGGUCUUAUAUUUUCUACUACUAAUGACUUAGACAUGACAAUGGAGCUAGCUGUUGCAUACCCUGACCCGAUCCAAUGAAUUUUCGGCGAUGGUCCACCCAUUUGGUUUGAUUUUGUGAGUCGCUGGUCGCCGAAUUUUAUGGAGGAAGACAUGAAGUUGGAGAGAGAGAAAACAAGAUUAAUUCUGAAAACACUGUAGCUUCUGAGUUCUGAGGCUUAUUUGUAAAAAGCAAGCAGACUUUGAAAAGAGUUUGAUAUUUUCAGUAGGUUAAAAGGCAGACUUUGUUUGAUAAUUUUUUC
RNAcentral lists this long non-coding RNA (395 nucleotides) under Panax ginseng (ginseng). RNAcentral's name for it is "long non-coding RNA (PGIN_LNC018818)". Lineage: Eukaryota; Viridiplantae; Streptophyta; Magnoliopsida; Apiales; Araliaceae. The record is from RNAcentral.